CAACUCGCCUGCAUGAAGUCGGAAUUGCUAGUAAUCGCAGAUCAGCAUGCUGCGGUGAAUACGUUCCCGGGCCUUGUACACACCGCCCGUCACACCAUGGGAGUCGGUAACACCCGAAGUCGGUAGCCUAACCGUAAGGAGGGCGCCGCCGAAGGUGGGAUUGAUGACUGGGGUGAAGUCGUAACAAGGUAAC
RNAcentral lists this ribosomal RNA (193 nucleotides) under uncultured bacterium. RNAcentral describes it as "partial 16S ribosomal RNA". It matches the Rfam family "Bacterial small subunit ribosomal RNA", at positions 1308 to 1500 of the family's 1533-position model. The record is from RNAcentral.